AGUGAACGCUGGCGGUAGGCCUAACACAUGCCAGUCGAACGGCAGCACAGUAAGAGCUUGCCCUUACGGGUAGCGAGUGGCGGACGGGUGAGGAAUACAUCGGAAUCUACUUUUUCGUGGGGGAUAACGUAGGGAAACUUACGCUAAUACCGCAUACGACCUACGGGUGAAAGCAGGGGAUCUUCGGACCUUGCGCGAUUGAAUGAGCCGAUGUCGGAUUAGCUAGUUGGCGGGGUAAAGGCCCACCAAGGCGACGAUCCGUAGCUGGUCUGAGAGGAUGAUCAGCCACACUGGAACUGAGACACGGUCCAGACUCCUACGGGAGGCAGCAGUGGGGAAUAUUGGACAAUGGGCGCAAGCCUGAUCCAGCCAUACCGCGUGGGUGAAGAAGGCCUUCGGGUUGUAAAGCCCUUUUGUUGGGAAAGAAAAGCAGCAGGUUAAUACCCCGCUGUUCUGACGGUACCCAAAGAAUAAGCACCGGCUAACUUCGUG
This 492-nucleotide ribosomal RNA is filed under the name uncultured bacterium. RNAcentral's name for it is "partial 16S ribosomal RNA". It matches the Rfam family "Bacterial small subunit ribosomal RNA", at positions 29 to 507 of the family's 1533-position model. The record is from RNAcentral.